GCCUUGCCAGUCUGAGAAGGUGACUAAGGACGAGCCUCUUCUAGCUUCCAGCUUCCAAUGAUGUAAUCCUUGGGGCUGAAUAUUGAGGUCACAGAAGGAUGAGUAGUGGAGGACAGGAGACUUUUAGAAGCAAUCUGAAUAUAUAGUAUACUUCCUAUCCUGAGGUCAUAUGAGGGGCUAUUUCCACUAUUCUGAGAAGGUAUGUGGAUAGAAGAUUUACCAGGCUACGAAAAGGAUCCAUGAAGAUUAAGAAUCUCUGGUCUGAAGUUACAUUCAUGAUUGUUUGCUUUCUUGGGGAGAGGAGAGCAGCUAUACGAGACAGAUGUCAGGAUGAUAUAAUAAACAGCAAUGCCAAAACUAAUGAAUUAAGGGAAAGGAGAACCACAUGCAGAGAUUUUCAGAUGAAAUCAGGUAAUGACAGGAAAGAAAAAUGAGACUGCAUUAAAAAUGGCUUGAGAGUCCAAGAUUCAAGGUGUGGAGAGACUCAGAGGAGGAGAAAUUUCAACUGUAUACUGCAUUCGUCUUACAUAUAUAUGCAUUGGAGCCUGAUGUACUGACUUGU
Long non-coding RNA from Sarcophilus harrisii (Tasmanian devil), 562 nucleotides. RefSeq lists it as uncharacterized. The record is from RefSeq and is a predicted model, not a curated record. The transcript has 3 exons. NCBI's taxonomy places the organism in Eukaryota, Metazoa, Chordata, Mammalia, Dasyuromorphia, Dasyuridae.